GAUGAAGAUGAUGAAGAUGACGAUGAAGAGACCACAUCUGCUGUGACAGAAGUGGACAAUGCUGGUAGAUCCACUGAGUACAUACCUGGGGAUUUGCCCACAGAUGAAGGUCCUUCAACCUCAAUGCACAAUCUAAGCAGUUUGCCAGCAAAGGAGCUGUAUAAGGUCCAUCUUCAAAAACAAAUAAGAAAAAGUGACAUGGAGAUGGACCUUAUACAGCUUCAAAUGGAGGAGAAAAGGCUAUCCAUUAAAAAAGCAACGCUAGAAAUUGAAUUACUGGAGCAUCGCCUUAAGGUGAGAACUUGU
Long non-coding RNA from Labeo rohita (rohu), 306 nucleotides. RefSeq lists it as uncharacterized. The transcript has 3 exons. NCBI's taxonomy places the organism in Eukaryota, Metazoa, Chordata, Actinopteri, Cypriniformes, Cyprinidae. The record is from RefSeq and is a predicted model, not a curated record.